AGUGAACGCUGGCGGUAGGCCUAACACAUGCAAGUCGAACGGCAGCACAGUAAGAGCUUGCUCUUACGGGUGGCGAGUGGCGGACGAGUGAGGAAUACAUCGGAAGCUACUUUUUCGUGGGGGAUAACGUAGGGAAACUUACGCUAAUACCGCAUACGACCUACGGGUGAAAGCAGGGGAUCUUCGGACCUUGCGCGAUUGAAUGAGCCGAUGUCGGAUUAGCUAGUUGGCGGGGUAAAGGCCCACCAAGGCGACGAUCCGUAGCUGGUCUGAGAGGAUGAUCAGCCACACUGGAACUGAGACACGGUCCAGACUCCUACGGGAGGCAGCAGUGGGGAAUAUUGGACAAUGGGCGCAAGCCUGAUCCAGCCAUACCGCGUGGGUGAAGAAGGCCUUCGGGUUGUAAAGCCCUUUUGUUGGGAAAGAAAAGCAGCAGGUUAAUACCCCGCUGUUCUGACGGUACCCAAAGAAUAAGCACCGGCUAACUUCGUG
Molecule: ribosomal RNA, 492 nt
Filed under: uncultured bacterium
Lineage: Bacteria
Description: partial 16S ribosomal RNA
Rfam family: Bacterial small subunit ribosomal RNA
Source: RNAcentral